Molecule: ribosomal RNA, 497 nt
Filed under: uncultured bacterium
Lineage: Bacteria
Description: partial 16S ribosomal RNA
Rfam family: Bacterial small subunit ribosomal RNA
Source: RNAcentral
GACGAACGCUGGCGGCGUGCCUAAUACAUGCAAGUAGAACGCUGAAGAGAGGAGCUUGCUCUUCUUGGAUGAGUCGCGAACGGGUGAGUAACGCGUAGGUAACCUGCCUUGUAGCGGGGGAUAACUAUUGGAAACGAUAGCUAAUACCGCAUAACAAUGGAUGACACAUGUCAUUUAUUUGAAAGGGGCAAUUGCUCCACUACAAGAUGGACCUGCGUUGUAUUAGCUAGUAGGUGAGGUAAUGGCUCACCUAGGCGACGUUACAUAGCCGACCUGAGAGGGUGAUCGGCCACACUGGGACUGAGACACGGCCCAGACUCCUACGGGAGGCAGCAGUAGGGAAUCUUCGGCAAUGGGGGCAACCCUGACCGAGCAACGCCGCGUGAGUGAAGAAGGUUUUCGGAUCGUAAAGCUCGGUUGUAAGUCAAGAACGGGUGUGAGAGUGGAAAGUUCACACUGUGACGGUAGCUUACCAGAAAGGGACGGCUAACUACGUG